This 241-nucleotide ribosomal RNA is filed under the name uncultured bacterium. RNAcentral's name for it is "partial 16S ribosomal RNA". It matches the Rfam family "Bacterial small subunit ribosomal RNA", at positions 524 to 763 of the family's 1533-position model. The record is from RNAcentral.
UACGUAGGGUGCGAGCGUUAAUCGGAAUUACUGGGCGUAAAGCGUGCGCAGGCGGUCUGUUAAGACCGAUGUGAAAUCCCCGGGCUUAACCUGGGAACUGCAUUUGUGACUGCAUCGCUGGAGUGCGGCAGAGGGGGAUGGAAUUCCGCGUGUAGCAGUGAAAUGCGUAGAUAUGCGGAGGAACACCGAUGGCGAAGGCAAUCCCCCUGGGCCUGCACUGACGCUCAUGCACGAAAGCGUG